UAAAAACAUAAUCAUUUUUUCCUCUCGCUCUCCUUGCUUUCGAUCCACCCUCUACUCUGACCCCCACUAGUGCGUCUCGUUGCGCCACCGUGGCGUUUCAGUACCCCACGGUUGUGUUUCAUUGCGUGUUCGUUGCGCCACCGUGGCAACUUGGUGCAACACCAUUGGGACUCUAAGAUAUUGUUGCUACUAGCUGCGACACGAAUCUAUGAUAUGCUUCUCCUUCAAGCUACGCCAAUUGAGGUUUUCUUUGUUCCAUGUUUUAGAUUAGCUAAGUCCUUCAUUUCUUAAUUCUUUAGCGAUAGAAAAUCAGAGUUUCUGGUUUCAGAUCGUAGCUUAGGGUCUGGUUUAGGGUUCGGUUUCGAUCGAUCCCUAUUUUUCAGGCACAUACACGCAGACUCUUUCGAGUAUUAAAAAUUUCUCUCUCUAUUUCGGUUUUGGAUCCGUUGAUUUUCAUCAUCUAUGGCGGCAAUAGAGGAUGAUUCCAAAGCGUCGACGAAGAUAUCGAUGACACAACCAAUUCCCAAAGAUCUUCAACUUUCCUCAACGCCGUUGCUCUCGGAAACGUUGUAAGUCUUCUCCAUUUCAUUUCUCCAUCAUCAUAGUUUCUAAUUUAUUAUAUUUGCGAUUUCAAUUUUGAUUUCGAGUUUGUAUGGUGUUGGUAAAUCACCGGUUUUUAACAGUUUAAUUGGACAUCCAAUUUUGCCUACGGGUGGAAAUGGAGCUACCAAAGCUCCAAUUUGCAUUGAUCUGCAAUGAGAUACUUCUUUGAGCAGCAAAUCUAUUAUAUUGCAGAUUGACAAUAAAUCUUAGCAAGUGCUUUAAGACAUUCUUUGCAGGAUAGGUUGAGUAAGACUUCCUCAGCCAAGGCACGAGAUCAAAUAACUUUGAAGCUACGCACGAGUACAGGAGUAAGCAAUAUCAAGGAAGUGGAAGGUGGAUUUAACCAUCAAUUUCAAAGAGAAGCCGAAGACAGGAAGAGCCAGAUUUUGUAUGAGCUCUCGCAUUUGGGGAGAGGAACCAAGAAGAUUUUCGAACAAUAUUUCAAGAAUAUAAAUUGGUAUCUGAUUAUCCAGUAGCAUCAGAUCGCUUAUGACAUAGUCCAUCUGUUUUACUUCUAUUCCGGGACUAAUGCCAUUAAAUGGUAUUGGUAACUCUGAAUCAUACUUAGAUUCACAAAUGAGAAGUUCUAACAGAAAACACCCGUCAAAUACCAUAGUCGUUGCCAGAGCA
This is a long non-coding RNA of Lathyrus oleraceus (garden pea), 1233 nucleotides long. RefSeq lists it as uncharacterized. The record is from RefSeq and is a predicted model, not a curated record. Lineage: Eukaryota; Viridiplantae; Streptophyta; Magnoliopsida; Fabales; Fabaceae. The transcript is spliced from 4 exons.